AGAAAUUAAGAAUUGUUUCUUAACUUUUAACUAAAAAAGCUAAAAACUGGUUCUUAAAUAAGAAUUUUAAGAACCGAUUUUUAGCUUUUUUAGUUAAAAGUUAAGAAACAGUUUCUUAACUUUC
MicroRNA precursor from Brassica oleracea var. oleracea, 124 nucleotides. It matches the Rfam family "MIR9563 microRNA precursor family". The record is from Rfam. Lineage: Eukaryota; Viridiplantae; Streptophyta; Magnoliopsida; Brassicales; Brassicaceae.